AGACGAUUGACUUGAUUGAAGUUGAAAUGGAAAAGAAAAUUGUACUCAAGACCUUGUAUGUAGUUGAAUCUUGAGUCCAGUUUGUGCUUCCCCAUUCUGAAAAGAGGUUAAAAAGGAAAGUUUUUUCUGAUAAGAUAAAAAAGUUUUUGAUAAAUUACCCAUUAGCAAGAAUCCUGUUGCCCCCGGAAACCAAUUAUGUAAUGAUCGGAACCCAAACACCCGCUACAUGGUGCUGCCAAAUCUUCAGCACCCCAUAACUGCGCAAUUAUACACAAAAGUACCAGAACUCUUACUGCCAAGCAAGGUCCAUACUGGAGGCCCUUCACUCGGCACCCACGAAUUCACCCCAAUAUACCCAUCGCCCAUAGCCCUAGGACCUCCAACUACAAUCAAUCUAUCGCCACAGGCACGAAAUGCUAAACCCCAUCCAUUCAUGGAAGCAGCUCCUUCAGGCAACCCUCCCAUGGUAACCCAUGUCUUGCUUGACUUGUCAAACUUCCUAACCACCAUGGCAGCAUAAUCGGCAGAAUAUAGUUCGUUAUUAACAACUCCCACCAGUGGAGGUGCUUCGGAUGAAGCAGGGAUAUCAGUCCUACCAGCGUUAGGUCGCACAGGGGACAUGUUUGGGAUUUCCGUCCAUUUUCCUGUUGUCAGGUCAUACUCCUCAGCACAUGUCAUCAGCGUCCCGUCAGCUCCACCAAUACCCCCUAUCACGUAAAAUUUACCGUCCAUGAAAACGCCAGAGCACAUCUUCCGUGGGCGGUUCAUGCUAGGCAAUACCCUCCACGAGCCGUCCUCCGAGUUGUAGAUCUCAGCCGAGCUAAGGAUUAUCCCUCGUGAAUCACAGCCGCCAGCGAGAAUGGCAAUCGCUCCAAGGCUGGCAGAACCGAACAGGCAUCGAGGCGCAUUCAUCUGCAUCCCGGUUGUCCAUGUAUUUGUCAGUAAGCUGUACCGAUAAAUAACAUGUGACAACACCUCCUUUCCAAAAACAAGAAGCUCUGUACCAACUGCCAAAGAUUCCUUGUCGGAGAACACGAAGCACUCAUUGGGAUUCAUCGUCGGCAGUUUCAUCCAACGGCGCCUAUUGGGGUCGAAUGCAUCCCAUUCGAGCAGCUGGCACGAGAAAUACACCCAGUGCUCCACCACACCAAUUUUUCGUCGCAACCUAUACAGCUCAUCGCUCCUAACUAAUGAGCGAAAUGCACUAUUCAAAGAUGCUAAGGUGCUAUAAUCUGACCUUGAGCACCAAGCGAGAGAACUUACAGAGUUAUCCCGGCCAAUGGCAGGAAUAAGCGAACUGAUAUCAGCAUUGUCCCCAGCAUCAUCCCCAGUCUGAUGCUGAUUGCCAGCUUGCUCAUCAGGGGGUGCUGCAGCAGAAUCAUCCUCAGCAUGACCCUUAUUAUCAGCUUGCUCAUCAGCGGAUGCUGAAGAAUUGCCCACGGAGAAAACCCCUCCAUCUAGCUCAGAACCAUCAGACUGCUUCUGCAACUUGCAUUGCACAUUUACACCUUCCUCGUCAUUUUCCAAUGGCCUUUUGCCAUUCUGGGCAUCAAUCCUAUCAAUGUGAUAACUCAUGCAGCCCGUCGUCCAGUUAUUUUCUGUUCGACAAUCCCUUUGAACCAUACACGUACGAUCCUCCAACAUGUCUUCCAGAUUGAACCCUAGAACAAACACCAGUUCCG
RNAcentral lists this unclassified non-coding RNA (1682 nucleotides) under Hevea brasiliensis (rubber tree). Lineage: Eukaryota; Viridiplantae; Streptophyta; Magnoliopsida; Malpighiales; Euphorbiaceae. The record is from RNAcentral.